This 497-nucleotide ribosomal RNA is filed under the name uncultured bacterium. RNAcentral's name for it is "partial 16S ribosomal RNA". It matches the Rfam family "Bacterial small subunit ribosomal RNA", at positions 28 to 507 of the family's 1533-position model. The record is from RNAcentral.
GACGAACGCUGGCGGCGUGCUUAACACAUGCAAGUCGAACGGUGAAGCGCCUAGCUUUUUGGUGGGUGUGGAUCAGCGGCGAAGGGGUGAGUAACACGUUAAUAACCUGCCCCCUUCUUCAGGAUAACCGCAUGAAAGUGUGGCUAAUACGGGAUAUUCUGGAUCUGUCGCAUCAUGGGUCUGGGAAAGAUUUUGUUUCGGUUGUGGAUGGGUUCGCGGCCCAUCAGCUUGUUGGUGGGGUAAUGGCCUACCAAGGCAGCGACGGGUAGCCGACCUGAGAGGGGGGUGGGCCACACUGGAGCGGCGGCAAGGCCCAGCAGCCUACGAGGGGCGGCAGUAGGGAGGAAUAUGGAAUGGGGGGAAGCAUGCUGGAGCAGCGCCGCGGGGGUAGUGAUGGUCUCCGUAGCGUAAUGAUCCGCUUUCGCGAGUGAAGAUGGCUGGCCUUGUCUGUGCACAGGUUGACGGUAGCUGGAUAAGAAGCGCCGGCUAACUACGUG